Molecule: long non-coding RNA, 786 nt
Organism: Panicum virgatum (switchgrass)
Lineage: Eukaryota; Viridiplantae; Streptophyta; Magnoliopsida; Poales; Poaceae
Exons: 2
Source: RefSeq, a predicted model, not a curated record
GGGACGUCAUCGAUCCGCGCCUCCUGCGCUCCACCAAUCGCGUGUCGUCAUGGCCACUACAUUACCCCUCCGCCUCUCCAAUCGUGUCUCUCUACCUGUUCCUUCUCUCUCCCUCUCCAAUCCUCUCUCACUCCAAUCCUCUCCCCUCCUCUUUCCCCAGCGCGCGAGGAUCAGAGUCUGGCCAUGCCCCUCCGCCUCUACUUCCUCCCCCACGCAGCCCCAUUUCAGCCUUGGUAGCCGCGACCAGGGCCUCUCCAAGAGUUACAUUUUUUUUUGCGAUUUUCCGGUGGAUUUUCUGGUUCUUGUUGUGCAGCAGCAUGAAGACGUUCACCAUGAGCAGGAGCAGCGGCGCAGUCAACUUCGGGUGCGAGAGCGGUAGAGCAACGGCUGCGCAGGGCUGCACUCAUGGCGGCACGUGGCCAAGGCGGGGGUGCUGUGGCAGACAUGAGGGCAGGCGGCGCGAGCUGCUUCCGCAGCACGGCCGGCCGCGGAGCACAGAGCGUCGACAACGGCGUAGGGCCGCGGCUGCACACGGUGGGGCGGCGCGGAGGGCAGUGCGCCGACCUCCGGCGGCGACGCGGACGCGCACGCGUAGCGGCGGUUUUUUUUAUUUUUUUAAUUGAUUACUAGGGGCGGGUGAUUGGGUCAUCUGUCCCUAGAAAUCGAUUUCCCGUCUCUAAAAAUCGAUUUCUAAGGACGGGUAAUGUACCCGCUCCUGCAAACAGUUAUUUUUAGCUGUGGAAAGCAGGGGCGGGUGCGACGUCCGCCCUUAAAAAUACUAUUUCA